RNAcentral lists this ribosomal RNA (492 nucleotides) under uncultured bacterium. RNAcentral describes it as "partial 16S ribosomal RNA". It matches the Rfam family "Bacterial small subunit ribosomal RNA", at positions 29 to 507 of the family's 1533-position model. The record is from RNAcentral.
AGUGAACGCUGGCGGUAGGCCUAACACAUGCAAGUCGAACGACAGCACAGUAAGAGCUUGCUCUGACGGGUGGCGAGUGGCGGACGGGUGAGGAAUACAUCGGAAUCUACUUUUUCGGGGGGGAUAACGUAGGGAAACUUACGCUAAUACCGCAUACGACCUACGGGUGAAAGCAGGGGAUAUUGGUACCUUGCGCGAUUGAAUGAGCCGAUGUCGGAUUAGCUAGUUGGCGGGGUAAAGGCCCACCAAGGCGACGAUCCGUAGCUGGUCUGAGAGGAUGAUCAGCCACACUGGACCUGUAACACGGUCCAGACUCCUACGGGAGGCAGCAGUGGGGAAUAUUGGACAAGGGGCGCAAGCAUGCUCCAGCCAUACCGCGUGGGUGAAGAAGGCCUUCGGGUUGUAAAGCCCUUUUGUUGGGAAAGAAAAGCAGCAGGUUAAUACCCCGCUGUUCUGACGGUACCCAAAGAAUAAGCACCGGCUAACUUCGUG